Molecule: RNA transcript, 463 nt
Organism: Salvia splendens (bonfire salvia)
Lineage: Eukaryota; Viridiplantae; Streptophyta; Magnoliopsida; Lamiales; Lamiaceae
Gene name: ceramide kinase-like
Exons: 2
Source: RefSeq, a predicted model, not a curated record
UCAGGCUAUGUGAAUUGCAUGUUACUUUUGUGGGAUCAGCAUAAGACGUUUUAUUUGUAUUACAACUGGAAGGGGAUAAUUUUUCUUGUCUGGGAUUCAAACUUGUUUCGAAUACAGAAAUGGAGGUUAAUAUCGGCGAUGUUUAUGCUGUUAACUUCAUUGGUUGGGGUUUGGUUCAUGAAUCUGCUCUUGCCAGCUUGGAAGUAUCCCUUUUAGAUCAUUCUUCUGAGAUGUACAGGUUUACUAUCUAUGUUGUUCACAAAUCAAAGACCCAAUCAUCUGUUUGGAUGCCAUUAGUUUACACUUUUGGUCAUAAAGAUUUGGAGAUUUGUAUGUCUUGGGUAAACCAGAUUAAUUCUCAUCUGCACAUGGAAGUUAAGCGACCUAAGAAUCUUCUGGUACGUGACAAUAUUGUUUGCUUAGUUUUAAUUUUGUUGGUUUAGUUUCUUCUUUAGCACUGUCA